AAUCAUUGAAUUCGCACCAACCAAAUGUUACGAUUCAUUAAAAUAGAAAUUUGAAAAAUCCGAUAUUUUAUAAUAUUUGGCAGCUCUGGCAUCUUCAUGUCAUGGCUUCGUUUUUGGAUGACGAAGAAGAGUAAGAAGCCAGUUGUCUGGUCUUGUCUUAGGCACUACCUAAAGUUUCAGCCAUAAUUACUGGAAGAUAACUCUAACUGAGUGAAACGGCAUCACUGGCGUUUGCUUUUUCUCUUUCACGCUGGACUGUCAUUUGAAUAAACAAAUGAGAGCGGAGCGGACGGGAAAUUAUUAAAAGCAAGUAAUUUUCACAAUAAACAAGAGUAUUCUGUCUUUAACGCCUUUUUGAAUUUUAACUGAAUUCUAAACAACAUUUGGUUAUCCACUCGUGAUUUGGUGUCUACGAAAUAAAAGGAAUAAGGAGACUUGAUAUUUUUCAUGUAAUGCUGCCAAUGAUUGCCGUAACGAUACUGCUAUUCCGGCUAUGUCGCUGUGAAAAUGUGCUGCUUUACACCUCGAGCGUCUUGUACGGAACUAUGGAUACAUUCAGGAUAAAGAAUUAAAGGAAACUAUAUAAUUCAAAUAAGGUGGCUUUGAGUUGCGCGUCUUUAAUCAGAACAGAUUGUCUCUAAGCAACAGUUACACAUAUUCUUCAUAUGUGAAAACAAAAAAUAGGUUGAAUCGGCAACAAUCAUAAAACAAUGAAUAUACCGCAUUGUUUCUGCCACUUCCUAACUUUCACAUUUGAACUGCUUCGUCAGUUGCCGGUGUCACCAAUUCAGCGAAUGCAUUACAUUGUGAAUUUACCUCGUCUAAAUCAGAAAAGCAUUACACGAGUAUUGAACUGGAUGGAAUCACUUGGAAUAGAAUUAUGAUGGCUCGAAAUGUUUUAUCAGUAUACUGUAAAUUCUCGAACCAAUACAAACAUGAGCUGAGAGGAAAUUUACUAAUGCUAUAACAUUUUAUUGUAUAGUCGUUGAUUCUGUAGUAUAGUUAUGUAUAUCAUAGUAUAGUCAUAUUGCAUAGUGAUAGUAUCAGUAUAAAUAUGUACAAAUUAAAUUAAAAAUAAAAUGGUUCAAUGUUUA
Molecule: long non-coding RNA, 1094 nt
Organism: Toxorhynchites rutilus septentrionalis
Lineage: Eukaryota; Metazoa; Arthropoda; Insecta; Diptera; Culicidae
Exons: 4
Source: RefSeq, a predicted model, not a curated record